CCUACGGGCGGCAGCAGUGGGGAAUAUUCCGCAAUGGGCGAAAGCCUGACGCAGCGACGCCGCGUGAGGGAUGAAGGUCUUCGGAUCGUAAACCUCUGUCAGUAGGGAAGAACGGUCACUGUGCUAACCAGCAGUGAAUUGACGGUACCUGCACAGGAAGCACCGGCUAACUCCGUGCCAGCAGCCGCGGUAAUACGGAGGGUGCGAGCGUUAAUCGGAAUUAUUGGGCGUAAAGCGCUCGUAGGCGGUUUGUCAAGUCUAGGGUGAAAUCCCCGGGCUCAAACUGGGAGGUGCCUUUGAAACUGGCAAACUGGAGUGUAGGAGAGGAGAGUGGAAUUCCAGGUGUAGGAGUGAA
This 355-nucleotide ribosomal RNA is filed under the name uncultured bacterium. RNAcentral's name for it is "partial 16S ribosomal RNA". It matches the Rfam family "Bacterial small subunit ribosomal RNA", at positions 338 to 685 of the family's 1533-position model. The record is from RNAcentral.